Molecule: long non-coding RNA, 1569 nt
Organism: Piliocolobus tephrosceles (Ugandan red Colobus)
Lineage: Eukaryota; Metazoa; Chordata; Mammalia; Primates; Cercopithecidae
Source: Ensembl
AUUUUCACCACUGCCUGGACAGUUGAGGCAACAGAGGCACAGGGAGGUGGAGUGCCUUUUCCUAGGGUUUGUUUUUUUGAGACAGGGUCUUGCUUUCUCACCCAGGCUGGAGUGCAGUGGCACAAUAAUGGCUGAAUGCAGCCUUGACCUCCCAGGCUUAGCAAUCCUCCCACCUCAGCCUCCUGAGUAGCUGGGACUACAGUUGUGUGCCACUACACCAAACUAAUUAUUAUUAUUUUUUUUAGAGAUCAGGUCUUACUGGUCGGUCUCGAACUCCCAGCCUCAAGGAAUCCUCCCACUUUGGCCUCCCAAAGCGCUGGGAUAACAAGACUGAGCCGUCUGUGCCCAGCCCCUGGGGUUUCUUGAUUGCCAGUGAAGCAUACCUCAUUACCCUUGGGUCUUCAAAACAAUGAGAGCUAGACAGGAAAAGAUAAAUAAAUCAUAAGAAAAUAAGAGACAUGUAAAAGUGCUGUGUCAAUUGCUAUUCAUUUAAUAACUAUUUUAGCUUAAUAUGUUGUGGCUUUGAAGCAGUCAUUCAUUAAGCUGAAUUUCUCUGGCCACCUACACACCAUGUGGUCAGGCGCUGUGCUAAGCAGCAGCUAUUCACCCUGAGUGCCCAGUAUAGGCCAGGGUGUGGCCCGUGUGGCUCCGGGUGGGGCCACUCAGUCUGCAGGGUGGAGGGAGUGGACUUGGAGAGAAGAGGGCAUUUGGAGUCAGUUGCCUGGAGUUGGCGAGAACCACAGCCCCCAUGGGGCUCUCUGUUGUCUGCCCCAUGAAGGGUCUUAGUGCUCUGCAGAGUCACCGUCCGUCCUUACGCUCACACAGCCAGUAUUGCUCUGGGUUCCUGGGAGGCCUCCUGCAGGGCAUAGGACAGUGCCCGCCAACAGAGUCACAGCGAGUCCAGUGAUCAUCUCUUGGUGAUGUAAAAUGGCUCCAGGGGUGACCGGUCUGUUGGGUGGUCUUCGCAAACAGGAAGUUUCCAGAUGCCAGAAAGUGGUUCUCACUUCAUGCCUUGGAAUAUGUGUGAGGGGCAUCCACACAGCUAAAGAAGGCAGCUGGAUGUUUCAGUGGGGGUGUUGGCUGGGAUCUAGUUCCAGCCUUGCCACUUUUCUGUGUGGCGUUGGGCAAGUCACUUCUCCUCUUUGAGCCUCAGUUUCCUUGUGUGUGGAGUAAACUGUUUGUUGGAGAGGAAGUCUGGGUAGCCUGCCUGUUUCGAGUCCCUGCGACCUGCAAGAUCUUUGAGAACCUGGACUCAGGACCCAGAGAGAUCCUGGGCAAGUCACUUACCGUCUCAGUGCUGGAUUAACAGUGAAAUAGCAAAACGCCUGCUUCUUUAGGUUUUGUGAGGAGUAAAUGGAUGAGUACGUGUAAAGUGUCUGGAACAGCGUCUGGCCCGUGGUAAGCAGUCAGUUAGUGUCAGCUUGCACUCUGGGUGCUUUGACAGCAAAGAACGGGGCCUCCCUGAGGCGAGUGGUGUGUCUUACUCAUCUCUGUGUCCUCAGCACCUGGUGUGGGACCUGGCAGGCGCUGGCUGAAAUGAGAGUUGAAUUAAAAUUCCGUGAAGAAACA